AGUGGUUCGGGGAAAGUAAUGUAGUCAUGUUUUAUUUAUUUAUUUAUUUAUUUAUUUAUUUAUUUAUUUAUUUUUACUUUUUUUUAAAGUCCUAAUGUUCAAUGUGAAGAAAGCAAUUGCUUACCACAAACCUUGAUCCAACUACCCAGGAGUUUGACAUACUACAUAUGAAAGGAGAACUAAGAUGCACGGGAGAUGAGCAGAUGAUAGUGCUUUGGCUUCCUGCCAGAGUCUUCUAAUGAAAAUGAACGCUUUCUGCAUCUGGGUCCACGGCAUUUGUUUGGAAGAGAGAAGUUUGGAAGGCUAGGAAUCAGCCACAUCUCCCUUCAUUUCCUCCAGUUCUUUCCCUUCAUGGCCACGUUAAUGAAGUCUCUCUACAGCUACCUCGUCAAACUAGUGCAUAAUGACUUCCUCUGCACAGGGAUGUGAGUGACUAAAAAGACUUAAAGUUGUCAUUCACAUUUUUCAGCAUGGUAAAACACAGUUUAGAACAUUCAAAUAAACAAAA
Molecule: long non-coding RNA, 508 nt
Filed under: Mus spicilegus (steppe mouse)
Lineage: Eukaryota; Metazoa; Chordata; Mammalia; Rodentia; Muridae
Description: lncRNA (ENSMSIG00000029716.1)
Source: RNAcentral